Molecule: small nuclear RNA, 163 nt
Organism: Peromyscus maniculatus bairdii (prairie deer mouse)
Lineage: Eukaryota; Metazoa; Chordata; Mammalia; Rodentia; Cricetidae
Gene: U1
Rfam family: U1 spliceosomal RNA
About the family: U1 is a small nuclear RNA (snRNA) component of the spliceosome (involved in pre-mRNA splicing). Its 5' end forms complementary base pairs with the 5' splice junction, thus defining the 5' donor site of an intron.
Source: Ensembl
AUUCUUAUCCUGUACAGGAGAUAACAUUAUCAUGAAAGUGGUGAUCACAGGAAGAGGCACAUCUAUUGCGCUCCAGCUGUGCUGACCCUUCGGUUUCCCCAAAUUCUGGAAACUCUCGACUGCAUAAUCUGUGGUAGGGAGACUGCAUUCAUGCUCUUCCCUG